RNAcentral lists this ribosomal RNA (254 nucleotides) under uncultured bacterium. Its description in RNAcentral is "partial 16S ribosomal RNA". It matches the Rfam family "Bacterial small subunit ribosomal RNA", at positions 524 to 776 of the family's 1533-position model. The record is from RNAcentral.
UACGUAGGGGGCAAGCGUUGUCCGGAUUUAUUGGGCGUAAAGAGCUCGUAGGUGGUUCGGUAAGUCGGAUGUGAAAUCUCCAGGCUCAACCUGGAGGGGUCAUUCGAUACUGCCGUGACUAGAGUUCGGUAGGGGAGUGCGGAAUUCCUGGUGUAGCGGUGAAAUGCGCAGAUAUCAGGAGGAACACCGGUGGCGAAGGCGGCACUCUGGGCCGGUACUGACGCUGAGGAGCGAAAGCGUGGGGAGCGAACAGG